RNAcentral lists this long non-coding RNA (405 nucleotides) under Dromaius novaehollandiae (emu). RNAcentral describes it as "lncRNA (ENSDNVG00000011788.1)". Lineage: Eukaryota; Metazoa; Chordata; Aves; Casuariiformes; Dromaiidae. The record is from RNAcentral.
CUGUGUGUAAUACUGGUGUUYGAGACGUGACAGAUCCACAGCCAUAUUUUAAAAAAAGAGGUUGGCAUAUUCAUGAGAAUGCAAAGUUACAAAAAAUAUUUGAAGACUGGAGAAAAUGCAGAAAAUGGCCACAGCGAGUCAGUUGCUGCCCCAGGAGACACAAGCACUGGAAGCUGGCUCUGCCAGGUGUAGCCACUACUUGGAUCGAACUCCCCAUCUGGGUGGGAGUAGAAGCAUAAGCACUGCCCAGGAAGGAAUUUUGCAGAUGCUGAUCACUGUGAAAUGUGUCCCCAGUGCCAUGUCUGCAGGCAAGCAAUUUCUGCCAUCCUCCCACUGAAGUCUGAACCUCAGAUUUGGUAGGCUCAUUUCAGCAGUAAAUAAAGAUUUGACUAAAGCAAACUGGCA